This 387-nucleotide unclassified non-coding RNA is filed under the name soil metagenome. RNAcentral describes it as "partial contains 5.8S ribosomal RNA, internal transcribed spacer 2, and large subunit ribosomal RNA". The stretch from base 1 to 122 matches the Rfam family "5.8S ribosomal RNA", at positions 35 to 154 of the family's 154-position model. The record is from RNAcentral.
GAUGAAGAACGCAGCGAAAUGCGAUAAGUAAUGUGAAUUGCAGAAUUCAGUGAAUCAUCGAAUCUUUGAACGCACCUUGCACCCUUUGGACUGCUCCAAAGGGUAUGCUCGUUUGAGUGUCAUUGUACUCUCACACUCUCUGAUCCUUUGGAUUUGGGGAGCAGUGGACUUGGGUGCUUGCUGCUUCCUUGUGGCUCACCUGAAAUGCAUCAGUGCAUCUCUCGAUUGGACAUAGUACGGCGUGAUAAGUGUCUUCGCCGGCACCUCAUAUGAGGGUGGCCGAUCGGGAGCUCUGUGCUUUCAAACCGUCUUCGGACAACGCUGACAACUUGAUCUCAAAUCGAGUAGGACUACCCGCUGAACUUAAGCAUAUCAAUAAGCGGAGGA